Molecule: long non-coding RNA, 1298 nt
Organism: Helianthus annuus (common sunflower)
Lineage: Eukaryota; Viridiplantae; Streptophyta; Magnoliopsida; Asterales; Asteraceae
Exons: 2
Source: RefSeq, a predicted model, not a curated record
CUGCCAAACACCCUCUACAUUACUCCCCUUCUCUAUUACAUAAACCAAACAUCCUCACAAUCACACUCCUCUCUCUCUCUCGAUACACACCCACACCAAAAAAAUGGAACCCCUAAUCUUCUUCCAAAUAAGGGGGUGUUUGGCCUAGCUUUUUUUAAAAAAGCUUAUAGCUUUUUUAGCUUUUUUUACAAAAUAAGCUUCAUUUGGUGUUUGUUUUAGCUUUUUAAACUUAUGCUUAUUAGCUUAUAUAAGCUAAUUUGAAUAAGCUUAUUUGAACAUGGUUUUUAAGCUUAUUUGAAGAAUGAUAGAAAAUAAGCUAUAAGCUAAUCCAAACACUUAAAAAGAGCUUAUCAAAUAAUAGAAAAUAAGCUAUAAGCUACUUUAAAAUAUAAGCAUAAGCCAAAAAAUAAAACUAGGCCAAACACCCCCUAAGUAGCAGACCUCAAAGUUCCUUCCCUCUCUCUCUCGAUCCCUCUCCGGUGAAGACCACAGCCGGACCAACGACCCCUCCGGUCAUCAUUAUUGCCGGCGACAAGCACAGCAACAACACCCCCUGUUAAUGAUUCAACGGCCGGCCACCUCGCUUGGGUGGUGGCGCUCGACGGCGGCGACGGUAACGAGAGAGAGAGAGCUGAAGAGAUGAGAGAGAAGCGGAGGCGGAGCAGCGCCGCCGCUCAUGGCGGCGGCAGGGGCAGUGAAGGUGGUUGGUUCCGACGAGAAUCCGAUAAAGCCCCCCCCUCGGUUUCAUCUCCGGCGGCGACACAUCGAAGGAAAGAGAGAGAAUCGGUGUUGGUGGUGACUGGUGGUUCUCGUCUCGGACCGGUGGUCCUAGCUUCGGACCGUCGGGUUUCACGACGACGCUGAAGAUGAUGACAGAGGAUGGAUGAUAAGGAUGGUGCUGAAGAUGUCGGUGGUGGUCCGACGCGGUGACCGGCGCUGACUGUGGUCCGACAGCCGCUGAUACCCGUGCCAGCGACAUCAGCUGAAGUGAUGAAGCUAUUCAGAUGGUUUCGAGUCUAGAUUGGGUUACGUUUCAUUGUUCAGGUCAACAGCUCGGGUCAACGGUCACAGACUAGUCAACUCGGUCAACCCGAGUCGACUCAGUAAACUCAGCAAGUUGACUCGGUUAGCUCGGCUUUCGACACGAGAAGAUGGUAAAGACUUUACGGCGCGAAUACAUAUUUACGUUAAUUAUAUGUUUUUUUUUGUUACGAGCUCGAACCGAUUCGAAUUAGUAUCUAGUUAUAUUUCGCCAUUUUUAUGAAAAUUUCAGAUAUAAGUGAUUGAAUCUUGUUGAA